RNAcentral lists this ribosomal RNA (733 nucleotides) under uncultured bacterium. RNAcentral's name for it is "bacterial SSU rRNA". It matches the Rfam family "Bacterial small subunit ribosomal RNA", at positions 771 to 1501 of the family's 1533-position model. The record is from RNAcentral.
AACAGGAUUAGAUACCCUGGUAGUCCACGCCGUAAACGAUGUCGACUUGGAGGUUGUUCCCUUGAGGAGUGGCUUCCGGAGCUAACGCGUUAAGUCGACCGCCUGGGGAGUACGGCCGCAAGGUUAAAACUCAAAUGAAUUGACGGGGGCCCGCACAAGCGGUGGAGCAUGUGGUUUAAUUCGAUGCAACGCGAAGAACCUUACCUACUCUUGACAUCCACGGAAUUUGGCAGAGAUGCCUUAGUGCCUUCGGGAACCGUGAGACAGGUGCUGCAUGGCUGUCGUCAGCUCGUGUUGUGAAAUGUUGGGUUAAGUCCCGCAACGAGCGCAACCCUUAUCCUUUGUUGCCAGCGAUUCGGUCGGGAACUCAAAGGAGACUGCCGGUGAUAAACCGGAGGAAGGUGGGGAUGACGUCAAGUCAUCAUGGCCCUUACGAGUAGGGCUACACACGUGCUACAAUGGCGCAUACAAAGAGAAGCGACCUCGCGAGAGCAAGCGGACCUCAUAAAGUGCGUCGUAGUCCGGAUCGGAGUCUGCAACUCGACUCCGUGAAGUCGGAAUCGCUAGUAAUCGUGGAUCAGAAUGCCACGGUGAAUACGUUCCCGGGCCUUGUACACACCGCCCGUCACACCAUGGGAGUGGGUUGCAAAAGAAGUAGGUAGCUUAUCCUUUCGGGGAGGGCGCUUACCACUUUGUUGAUUCAUGACUGGGGUGAAGUCGUAACAAGGUAACC